UAAACCUCUUUCAGCAGGGAAGAAGCGCAAGUGACGGUACCUGCAGAAGAAGCACCGGCUAAUUACGUGCCAGCAGCCGCGGUAAUACGUAGGGUGCGAGCGUUGUCCGGAAUUAUUGGGCGUAAAGAGCUCGUAGGCGGCUUGUCGCGUCGGAUGUGAAAGCCCGGGGCUUAACCCCGGGUCUGCAUUCGAUACGGGCAGGCUAGAGUGUGGUAGGGGAGAUCGGAAUUCCUGGUGUAGCGGUGAAAUGCGCAGAUAUCAGGAGGAACACCGGUGGCGAAGGCGGAUCUCUGGGCCAUUACAGACGGUGAGGAGCGAAAGCGUGGGGAGCGAACAGGAUUAGAUAACCUGGUAGUCCACGCUCGUAAACGUGGGCAUCUAGGG
Molecule: ribosomal RNA, 384 nt
Filed under: Streptacidiphilus sp.
Lineage: Bacteria; Bacillati; Actinomycetota; Actinomycetes; Kitasatosporales; Streptomycetaceae
Description: bacterial SSU rRNA
Rfam family: Bacterial small subunit ribosomal RNA
Source: RNAcentral